RNAcentral lists this ribosomal RNA (429 nucleotides) under Pseudomonadota bacterium. Its description in RNAcentral is "Proteobacteria bacterium partial 16S ribosomal RNA". It matches the Rfam family "Bacterial small subunit ribosomal RNA", at positions 355 to 776 of the family's 1533-position model. The record is from RNAcentral. Lineage: Bacteria; Pseudomonadati; Pseudomonadota.
UGGGGAAUAUUGGACAAUGGGCGAAAGCCUGAACCAGCCAUGCCGCGUGUGUGAAGAAGGUCUUCGGAUGGUAAAGCACUUUAAGUUGGGAGGAAGGGCAGUAAGAGAAUACCUUGCUGUUUUGACGUUACCGACAGAAUAAGCACCGGCUAACUCUGUGCCAGCAGCCGCGGUAAUACAGAGGGUGCGAGCGUUAAUCGGAUUUACUGGGCGUAAAGCGUGCGUAGGCGGCUAAUUGAGUCGGAUGUGAAAUCCCCGAGCUUAACUUGGGAAUUGCAUUCGAUACUGGUUCGCUAGAGUGUGGGAGAGGAUGGUAGAAUUCCAGGUGUAGCGGUGAAAUGCGUAGAGAUCUGGAGGAAUACCGAUGGCGAAGGCAGCCAUCUGGCCUAACACUGACGCUGAGGUACGAAAGCAUGGGGAGCAAACAGG